UAUAGGUCAAGCUACAAAGGGCGCAUGGUGAAUGCCUUGGCAUCAGGAGCCGAUGAAGGACGUGAUAAGCUGCGAUAAGCUUCGGGGAGUUGCACAUAGCCUGAGAUCCGAAGAUCUCCGAAUGAGGAAACUCACAUGGGAAACCCCAUGUAUCAUUAAGUGAAUACAUAGCUUAAUGAAGGUAACCCAGGGAACUGAAACAUCUAAGUACCUGGAGGAAGAGAAAGAAAAAUCGAUUUUCUUAGUAGCGGCGAGCGAAAGGGAAAGAGCCCAAACCGGAAACUUGUUUCCGGGGUUGUGGACAUAGCAUAAGAGUGGAGGCUAUUGUAACUGAAGAGAACUGGAAAGUUCCACCGUAGAAGGUAAUAGUCCUGUAAGUGAAACGAGAAGACCACGAGUUAUGAUCCAGAGUACCACGAGACACGUGAAACCUUGUGGGAAGCAGGGAGGACCACCUCCCAAGGCUAAAUACUACCUGAUGACCGAUAGUGAAGCAGUACCGUGAGGGAAAGGUGAAAAGAACCCCGGGAGGGGAGUGAAAUAGAACCUGAAACCCUGCACUUACAAACUGUGGAAGCACAUUUCUUGUGUGACCGCGUACUUUUUGUAGAACGGGCCAACGAGUUACGUUAAGUAGCAAGGUUAAGCACUUAAGGUGUGGAGCCGUAGCGAAAGCGAGUUUUAACUGAGCGUUCAGUUACUUGACGUAGACCCGAAACCGGGCAACCGACCCACGACCAGGAUGAAGAGAGACUUAGAUUUGGUGGAGGCCCGAACCCCCGAGCGUUGGAAACCUGGGGGAUGACUGGUGGGUAGCGGUGAAAUGCCAGUCGCCCCCGGAGAUAUCUGGCUCUCCCCGAUAUGGAUUUAGGGAUAGCCGUAAGG
This 885-nucleotide ribosomal RNA is filed under the name Enterococcus faecium. Its description in RNAcentral is "bacterial LSU rRNA". It matches the Rfam family "Bacterial large subunit ribosomal RNA", at positions 1 to 887 of the family's 2925-position model. Lineage: Bacteria; Bacillati; Bacillota; Bacilli; Lactobacillales; Enterococcaceae. The record is from RNAcentral.